AUUGAACGCUGGCGGCAGGCCUAACACAUGCAAGUCGAGCGGAUGAAGGGAGCUUGCUCCUGGAUUCAGCGGCGGACGGGUGAGUAAUGCCUAGGAAUCUGCCUGGUAGUGGGGGAUAACGUCCGGAAACGGGCGCUAAUACCGCAUACGUCCUGCGGGAGAAAGUGGGGGAUCUUCGGACCUCACGCUAUCAGAUGAGCCUAGGUCGGAUUAGCUAGUUGGUGGGGUAAAGGCCUACCAAGGCGACGAUCCGUAACUGGUCUGAGAGGAUGAUCAGUCACACUGGAACUGAGACACGGUCCAGACUCCUACGGGAGGCAGCAGUGGGGAAUAUUGGAAAAUGGGCGAAAGCCUGAUCCAGCCAUGCCGCGUGUGUGAAGAAGGUCUUCGGAUUGUAAAGCACUUUAAGUUGGGAGGAAGGGCAGUAAGUUAAGACCUUGCUGUUUUGACGUUACCAACAGAAUAAGCACCGGCUAACUUCGUG
RNAcentral lists this ribosomal RNA (484 nucleotides) under uncultured bacterium. Its description in RNAcentral is "partial 16S ribosomal RNA". It matches the Rfam family "Bacterial small subunit ribosomal RNA", at positions 30 to 507 of the family's 1533-position model. The record is from RNAcentral.